RNAcentral lists this ribosomal RNA (451 nucleotides) under uncultured bacterium. RNAcentral's name for it is "partial 16S ribosomal RNA". It matches the Rfam family "Bacterial small subunit ribosomal RNA", at positions 354 to 796 of the family's 1533-position model. The record is from RNAcentral.
GUGGGGAAUAUUGGACAAUGGGCGCAAGCCUGAUCCAGCCAUGCCGCGUGUGUGAAGAAGGCCUUUUGGUUGUAAAGCACUUUAAGCGAGGAGGAGGCUCCUUUAGUUAAUACCUAAAGAGAGUGGACGUUACUCGCAGAAUAAGCACCGGCUAACUCUGUGCCAGCAGCCGCGGUAAUACAGAGGGUGCGAGCGUUAAUCGGAUUUACUGGGCGUAAAGCGUGCGUAGGCGGCUUUUUAAGUCGGAUGUGAAAUCCCUGAGCUUAACUUAGGAAUUGCAUUCGGUACUGGAAAGCUAGAGUAUGGGAGAGGAUGGUAGAAUUCCAGGUGUAGCGGUGAAAUGCGUAGAGAUCUGGAGGAAUACCGAUGGCGAAGGCAGCCAUCUGGCCUAAUACUGACACUGAGGUGCGAAAGCAUGGGGAGCAAACAGGAUUAGAUACCCGGGUAGUCC